Molecule: ribosomal RNA, 616 nt
Filed under: uncultured bacterium
Lineage: Bacteria
Description: bacterial SSU rRNA
Rfam family: Bacterial small subunit ribosomal RNA
Source: RNAcentral
CCUACGGGAGGCAGCAGUGGGGAAUUUUGGACAAUGGGCGCAAGCCUGAUCCAGCAAUGCCGCGUGAGUGAAGAAGGCCUUCGGGUUGUAAAGCUCUUUUGUCAGGGAAGAAACGGUGGAGGUUAAUACCUUCUGCUAAUGACGGUACCUGAAGAAUAAGCACCGGCUAACUACGUGCCAGCAGCCGCGGUAAUACGUAGGGUGCAAGCGUUAAUCGGAAUUACUGGGCGUAAAGCGUGCGCAGGCGGUUGUGCAAGACAGAUGUGAAAUCCCCGGGCUCAACCUGGGAAUUGCAUUUGUGACUGUACGGCUAGAGUGUGUCAGAGGGGGGUAGAACUCCACGUGUAGCAGUGAAAUGCGUAGAGAUGUGGAGGAAUACCGAUGGCGAAGGCAGCCCCCUGGGAUAACACUGACGCUCAUGCACGAAAGCGUGGGGAGCAAACAGGAUUAGAUACCCUGGUAGUCCACGCCCUAAACGAUGUCUACUAGUUGUCGGGUCUUUAUUGACUUGGUAACGCAGCUAACGCGUGAAGUAGACCGCCUGGGGAGUACGGUCGCAAGAUUAAAACUCAAAGGAAUUGACGGCNGAGAGAGCGAGACGACACGAGGGAGGAGG